UGCGUAGGCGGUGCGGUAAGUCUUCUGUGAAACCUCCGGGCUUAACUCGGAGCCUGCAGGGGAAACUGCCGUGCUGGAGUAUGGGAGAGGUGAGUGGAACUCCCGGUGUAGCGGUGAAAUGCGUAGAUAUCGGGAGGAACACCUGUGGCGAAAGCGGCUCACUGGACCAUUACUGACGCUGAAGCACGAAAGCUAGGGGAGCAAACAGGAUUAGAUACCCUGGUAGUCCUAGCCCUAAACGAUGAUCGCUUGGUGUGACAGGUACCCAAUCCUGUCGUGCCGGAGCUAACGCGUUAAGCGAUCCGCCUGGGGAGUACGGUCGCAAGGCUGAA
RNAcentral lists this ribosomal RNA (332 nucleotides) under uncultured bacterium. Its description in RNAcentral is "bacterial SSU rRNA". It matches the Rfam family "Bacterial small subunit ribosomal RNA", at positions 568 to 898 of the family's 1533-position model. The record is from RNAcentral.